Molecule: ribosomal RNA, 739 nt
Filed under: Lactococcus lactis subsp. lactis
Lineage: Bacteria; Bacillati; Bacillota; Bacilli; Lactobacillales; Streptococcaceae
Description: bacterial SSU rRNA
Rfam family: Bacterial small subunit ribosomal RNA
Source: RNAcentral
CUCAGGACGAACGCUGGCGGCGUGCCUAAUACAUGCAAGUUGAGCGCUGAAGGUUGGUACUUGUACCGACUGGAUGAGCAGCGAACGGGUGAGUAACGCGUGGGGAAUCUGCCUUUGAGCGGGGGACAACAUUUGGAAACGAAUGCUAAUACCGCAUAAAAACUUUAAACACAAGUUUUAAGUUUGAAAGAUGCAAUUGCAUCACUCAAAGAUGAUCCCGCGUUGUAUUAGCUAGUUGGUGAGGUAAAGGCUCACCAAGGCGAUGAUACAUAGCCGACCUGAGAGGGUGAUCGGCCACAUUGGGACUGAGACACGGCCCAAACUCCUACGGGAGGCAGCAGUAGGGAAUCUUCGGCAAUGGACGAAAGUCUGACCGAGCAACGCCGCGUGAGUGAAGAAGGUUUUCGGAUCGUAAAACUCUGUUGGUAGAGAAGAACGUUGGUGAGAGUGGAAAGCUCAUCAAGUGACGGUAACUACCCAGAAAGGGACGGCUAACUACGUGCCAGCAGCCGCGGUAAUACGUAGGUCCCGAGCGUUGUCCGGAUUUAUUGGGCGUAAAGCGAGCGCAGGUGGUUUAUUAAGUCUGGUGUAAAAGGCAGUGGCUCAACCAUUGUAUGCAUUGGAAACUGGUAGACUUGAGUGCAGGAGAGGAGAGUGGAAUUCCAUGUGUAGCGGUGAAAUGCGUAGAUAUAUGGAGGAACACCGGUGGCGAAAGCGGCUCUCUGGCCUGUAACUGACA